GAUGAACGCUGGCGGCGUGCCUAAUACAUGCAAGUCGAGCGAACGGAUUAAGAGCUUGCUCUUAUGAAGUUAGCGGCGGACGGGUGAGUAACACGUGGGUAACCUGCCCAUAAGACUGGGAUAACUCCGGGAAACCGGGGCUAAUACCGGAUAAUAUUUUGAACUGCAUAGUUCGAAAUUGAAAGGCGGCUUCGGCUGUCACUUAUGGAUGGACCCGCGUCGCAUUAGCUAGUUGGUGAGGUAACGGCUCACCAAGGCAACGAUGCGUAGCCGACCUGAGAGGGUGAUCGGCCACACUGGGACUGAGACACGGCCCAGACUCCUACGGGAGGCAGCAGUAGGGAAUCUUCCGCAAUGGGCGAAAGCCUGACGCAGCGACGCCGCGUGGGUGAUGAAGGCCUGGUCGUAAGCCUCGUCGCAGGGGAAGGAAGUAAAGACGAUCGGUAUAAUACG
RNAcentral lists this ribosomal RNA (453 nucleotides) under uncultured bacterium. RNAcentral's name for it is "bacterial SSU rRNA". It matches the Rfam family "Bacterial small subunit ribosomal RNA", at positions 28 to 474 of the family's 1533-position model. The record is from RNAcentral.